AACGAACGCUGGCGGCAGGCCUAACACAUGCAAGUCGAACGCUGCAGCAAUGCAGAGUGGCAGACGGGUGAGUAACGCGUGGGAACCUUCCCAGUGGUACGGAAUAGCCCAGGGAAACUUGGGGUAAUACCGUAUAAGCCCCUAGGGGGAAAGAUUUAUCGCCAUUGGGUGGGCCCGCGUCGGAUUAGCUAGUUGGUGAGGUAUGGCUCACCAAGGCGACGAUCCGUAGCUGGUCUGAGAGGAUGAUCAGCCACACUGGGACUGAGACACGGCCCAGACUCCUACGGGAGGCAGCAGUGGGGAAUAUUGGACAAUGGGCGCAAGCCUGAUCCAGCCAUGCCGCGUGAGUGACGAAGGCCUUAGGGUUGUAAAGCUCUUUUGGCGGGGACGAUAAUGACGGUACCCGCAGAAUAAGCUCCGGCUAACUUCGUGCCAGCCGCCGCCGUAA
This 448-nucleotide ribosomal RNA is filed under the name uncultured bacterium. RNAcentral's name for it is "partial 16S ribosomal RNA". It matches the Rfam family "Bacterial small subunit ribosomal RNA", at positions 29 to 523 of the family's 1533-position model. The record is from RNAcentral.